RNAcentral lists this non-coding RNA (117 nucleotides) under Homo sapiens (human). The record is from Rfam by way of RNAcentral. Lineage: Eukaryota; Metazoa; Chordata; Mammalia; Primates; Hominidae.
GCUGGGCGUGGUGGCUCAUGCCUGUAAUCCCAGCACUUUGGGAGGCUGAGGUGGGUGGAUCACCUGAGGUCAGGAGUUCAAGAUCAGCCUGACCAAUAUGGUGAAACCCUGUCUCUA